RNAcentral lists this long non-coding RNA (2554 nucleotides) under Mus musculus (house mouse). RNAcentral describes it as "long non-coding RNA chr6:67295182-67297736". Lineage: Eukaryota; Metazoa; Chordata; Mammalia; Rodentia; Muridae. The record is from RNAcentral.
ACUGGCUGCCAAUGUGAUUUGUACCUUACCUCCAGAAUGGGAUACUUCUUUACCCAAGUGCUGUUUGCUGGAUCUGGAAUGGUUCUGCUAUACCAUUGAGGUUUGAGAGUAGACAGGAGAGUAAAUGCCCUACAGAUAAGAAAACAGUUACAUUUAGUUAAAUAUGUCUACAAAGACAGGUGCACAGUCUUUCAAUGCAGUUAAUUCAUGGGAGAAGAAUCUUUUGUUCGGAAAGCAAAUUGCAAUCCCUCAAAAAAAGCAUUAGCUAAGGCUUCCUUGGAUUGGUGGCAUGCUGCGGCCACUUAGAAUUUGCUAAAUAAACUAAAAACAAAAUUUGUUUUCAUUUAAUUUUUAGCGGUUUGUCACUAUCUAGCCAUGUAUUAAUUCAGCAAAUAGCAUUAAACUAAAUAUGUGACCAGUAGGGUGGCACAUGCUGGAAAUAGAGCCAAGUAGAAGGCAUUGUUCAUAGACCUGGGGAUCUUACUAAUGAGCUAAUAAAAAUAUUUACAGUUUAUGAUAAAAUUGUUACAAUGAAGGUUUAAGUAGGAUAAGAGUAAUAACUUGAAUAUAGUGUUUAAAAUGCUAUGAAAAAGGUAUUCUAGAGAAAUAUCUGUUAACAGUGGUUAUACUAUUAACAUAGUAACAUAAAGAUAGGUCUUUUAAUGUGAUGAGGAAAAAUUCAAGAAACUUAUAAAUGCACAUUAUUUAAACCAAUAAGACUGAUAAACUUUGAUGAGAAAGGUUAGGUCCUGGUUCUCAGCCUUCCUAAUGCUGCCACCCUUUAAUACAGUUCUUUAUGUUGUAGUUACCCCAAUCCAUGAAAUUAUCUUGUUGCUACUUCAUAACUAUAAUGUUGUGCUGUUAUGAAUCAUGUAAAUAUCAGAUAUGCAGGAUAUAUGACAUGCAACCACUGUGAAAGGGUUAUUCAACACCCCUCCCCCAGGGGGCUGUGACCCAUAGCUGAGGACCACUGUGUUAGAUGGAUUCGCUAUCUGGCAAUAGUGGGUAGUAGUCGUUUGGAUGUGAUUCUCUUUGACUCCUGAGAUAAACUUUAUCGAAGUCUUUUUAGAAAAUUAUUUGUUUUUGCCUUCUUAUGUGUAAGAGUGUUUUGCCUGGUUCCUCCAGAGGUCAGAAGAGGGCACCAGAUCCCCAGGAACUAGCGUAACAGAUGGCUAUGAGCCGCUAUGUAGGUUCUGGGAAAUGAACCUGACCCCCAUACAAAGAGCAACUAGUGCUUUCAAGUGCUGAGCCAGUGUCUCUAGCCCCUUCCAAAGUAGUUUUUUUGUUGUUGUUGUUUUUUUGUUUUGUUUUUUUUUGAGACAGGGUUUCUCUGUAUAGCCCUGGCUGUCCCGGAACUCACUUUGUAGACCAGGCUGGCUUCAAACUCAGAAAUCCACCCGCCUCUGCUUCCUGAGUGCUGGGAUUAAAGGCAUGCGCCACCAUGCCCAGCUCUUAAAGACCUCUACUUUGAGGCUCUUUUGAUAGAUCUGCCAGACAAAGUGCACUAGCUGACAGAAUACUGAGCUAGUUCUAUUUGGUACCUAUUACUUGGCAUCUGAAGACAUCUUUGUGUUGAAAAUGAACUGAUUAUUUUUCUUUUACAAUGUAGUUUUUUUUAAGAUUUACUUAUUACUAUAUCAAAGUACACUGUAGCUGUAUUCAGAUCUCAUUAUGGAUGAUUGUGAGCCACCACGUGGUUACUGGGAUUUGAACUCAGGACCUUUGGAAGAGCAGUCGAUGCUUUUAACCACUGAGCCAUCUCUCCAUCCCAAUGUAGUUCUUUUUUAAGACUACGCUUAAAAAGGAUUUAAAUUAUUAUUUUGUAUUGGUGUGGGUUUGCAUGUGCUAUUAUGCAUGUGAAGUCAAAGAACAACUUGGUAGUGGGUUCUAGAGAUCAAAAGUCAUCAGCCUUGGUAACAAGUGCCUUUACCCACUGAGAUCUAUCUUGUCAGCCCAUUUUUUUAUCAAAUAAAUAGAAUUAAAGUCACCUAUCGUUUUGUUCCCAAAUAUAAUCACCAUUUAAUACUGUGUAAUGUAUCUUUGGAGCAGAGCGCUCAUUGCCAUUGACUUAUUUCCUCCUUUUUCUACAGUUCAGGAUCUUGCUUUAUUGAAAUAACAGUAAGUUCAGCUAAAAGACUACAGUGUUAAUCCAUCUUGCCUCACCAGGUUCUGUCUAUUGAGAUUUAACUAAAAGUAUCAUGUACAACUUCUUCAAAGCUCCUGAAAGGGGACGUAUUGUCACUCUUUUCCUAUUUCCCUCGAUUGUAGAAUAUAGUGGCACACAGCUGUGAGAUCACAGAGUGAAAGCUCACAAGGAAGCUAUGGGAUGAUAUAGUGCAACAUCUCAUCCAAGUCAGGAUAGUGCACUAGGAAAAUUGUCCGGGCCAACCAUGGAGCCACAAAAGCAACCCAUUACCUAGGUUUCUUUAUCCAGCUGAGAACCUGCUAUGACAGCUUACAUGGAUUUUGGCUUUGGGGAUUUUAAAAUGUAAACUUUUAAAAUUUUUGAUAUGCAUUCAGCCACAAUGGUUGAAUAAAUUUAUCCUAUCACUGC